RNAcentral lists this ribosomal RNA (492 nucleotides) under uncultured bacterium. RNAcentral's name for it is "partial 16S ribosomal RNA". It matches the Rfam family "Bacterial small subunit ribosomal RNA", at positions 29 to 507 of the family's 1533-position model. The record is from RNAcentral.
AGUGAACGCUGGCGGUAGGCCUAACACAUGCAAGUCGAACGGCAGCACAGUAAGAGCUUGCUCUUACGGGUGGCGAGUGGCGGACGGGUGCGGAAUACAUCGGAAUCUACUUUUUCUUGCGGGCUAACGUAGGGACACAUACGCUAAUACCGCAUACGACGUACGGGUGAAAGCAUGGGAUCUUCGGACCUUGCGCGAGUGAAUGAGCCGAGGUCGGAUUAGCUAGUUGGCGGGGUAAAGGCCCACCAAGGCGACGAUCCGUAGCUGGUCUGAGAGGAUGAUCAGCCACACUGGAACUGAGACACGGUCCAGACUCCUACGGGAGGCAGCAGUGGGGAAUAUUGGACAAUGGGCGAAAGCCUGAUCCAGCCAUACCGCGUGUGUGAAGAAGGUCUUCGGGUUGUAAAGCCCUUUUGUUGGGAAAGAAAAGCAGCAGGUUAAUACCCCGCUGUUCUGACGGUACCAAAAGAAUAAGCACCGGCUAACUUCGUG